Molecule: ribosomal RNA, 739 nt
Filed under: uncultured bacterium
Lineage: Bacteria
Description: bacterial SSU rRNA
Rfam family: Bacterial small subunit ribosomal RNA
Source: RNAcentral
AAUUCGAUUGAGUUUGAUCAUGGCUCAGGAUGAACGCUGGCGGUAUGCUUUACACAUGCAAGUCGAACGCAAGUUUUUAACUUGAGUGGCGGACGGGUGAGUAACACGUGAGAAUUCGCCUUUAGGCGGGGAAUAACCAUCGGAAACAAUGGCUAAUGCCCCAUAUGCUCGCAAGAGUGAAAGGAGUAAUCCACCCAAAGAGAAGCUCGCGGCUGAUUAGCUAGUUGGUAAGGUAAUGGCUUACCAAGGCGACGAUCAGUAGCUGGUUUGAGAGAACGAUCAGCCACACUGGAACUGAGACACGGUCCAGACUCCUACGGGAGGCAGCAGUGGGGAAUUUUCCGCAAUGGGCGAAAGCCUGACGGAGCAAUACCGCGUGAGGGAUGAAGGCCUUUGGGUUGUAAACCUCUUUUAUCAAGGAGGAAGUUCUGACGUGUACUUGAUGAAUAAGCAUCGGCUAACUCCGUGCCAGCAGCCGCGGUAAGACGGAGGAUGCAAGUGUUAUCCGGAAUCACUGGGCGUAAAGCGUCUGUAGGGUGGUUUAAAAAGUCCACUGUUAAAGAUUGAAGCUUAACUUCAAAAAUGCCGUGGAAACUUUUAAACUUGAGUAUGAUAGGGGUAGAGGGAAUUUCCAGUGNNGCGGUGAAAUGCGUAGAUAUUGNAAAGACCACCAAUGGCGAAGGCACUCUACUGGGCCAUUACUGACACUGAGAGACGAAAGCUAGGGGAGCAAAUGGGA